CAAAAAAACAAAAAAAAAAAAGAAUUUCCAGAUCUAUCCAUUUUCCUAAUUUUUCUCUUUAAACAGAUAAAUAAAAUCCAGAUGUGGUACCACAUUCCCAUUAUUCAUUCAUCGGUUCACGGACACAUAGGCUGACUCAUUUCCCACCUUGAACACAGCCACAGUGAACAUGCAUGUGGGGGCUUCUCCGUGCUAGGAUGUAGAGCCCUUCGGGUAUACAGCCAGGAUCACUCUAGCUGAGUCAUAUGGUAAUUUGAUUUUCAGUUUGUUCUAAUACACCUCCACCCUGAUUUCCAUGGUGGCUGCACCACUUACACUCCCACCAGCACUUGAAUAAGAGUCUCCUCUCCACAAACCCACAACUGCAUUUGUUAUCAUUUGUUUUCCAGAUAAUAGCCACGCUACCUGAGGUAAGAUCCAGUCUCUCAAGGUACUUUUAAUUUGCAUUUCCCUGGUAGCGAAGGACAGUCUGCUGGUCACAUUUGUUUGCUAUACACAAACUAGAGACACCUGGAAAGAGGAAACCUCAACUGAGGUGUUUCCUCUAUCAAACUGGCCUGUGGGCACAUCUGUGUGGUAUUUUCUUGAUGCGAGUGGAUGGUAGGGGACUCAGCCCACUGGACAGUACUCCCCCCGACAGGUGGUCCUGGGAAGUAUAAUAAAGGUAGCUGACUAUGAGCCUGGGAACAAGCCUGCAAGCAGCUUUUCUCCAUGGCCUCUGCUUCACUCCCUGCCUCCAGGUUCCUGCCUUGACUUUGCUCAGUGAUGAACCAUGACAUGGAAGUAUAAGAUGAAAUAAACCCUUCCCUUCCGAAGCUAGCUUUGGUGGGUGUUUGAUCACAGUCACAGAAGGCCAACCAGGACACAAAUUGGUACCAGAGAGUGGGAUCUUUCUAUGACGGAGUUGACCAUAUUGUUUUGAGGGGAGGCUUGUGGGAAGCUUUCAGAGUUUUUGUCUUGAAAAGCCAUAGGGUCCUCCCAGCUUCUCCAAGUCUGUGGGAGUUUAGGAAAUAAUGCUGAGGCAACUGAAGAGGAUGGAGUCCUGGCUUGGAAGGACUCAAAGACACAACCAGGUUGUGACCCUCAAAGACACCACCAGGGCAAAUCAUGUGCUAUAUUUAAGAGUCUGGAAGUAAAGGCUUUGUUUUAUCGGGACAAUAGACACUAGUAGACUGCGGUUGAGAAGUCAGCUGUGAUUACCAAGAGACCAGCAUCGUUGAGAGGAAGGCACUUCCUCAGGGUCAGCUCACAGAAGCUGUGAUCCAGUCAAGUGUCGGAGGCAAGGCUGCACAUGAAGCUGGCAGCAGAGCUUUGUAAAUGAUGUGCCCCGUGUGGUACCGACUUCAGCAUCAUGAAGGCUGCAGGUCUGAAGGGGUCAAGGAGAGAGGUUGACACUUGUCACCAUGAGCCAGGGUUGGAAUCCCCAAAGAGGCCAUUGGUGAAGGUGAAGCCUCAGGUGCAGUGAAGGCCCCUGGUAUUAGAGACACCAGAACCAUGAGAUGACCAUCAAGGAAGGUGCAGAGGGGAGCUAGCCUUAGCCUUCUAGACAAGCUGUGCGCUGUGCAUCGCAGAGGCAGAGAAGUAGAGAUGCACAAGCCCUUCGGAACCAGAAAAUCAUGAGUGAGUCCCUGAUUACUGAGUUAUUUUCACUGUUGGAUUUUGAUUUUGCCUUGAACUGGUUGUGAUUGUGCACUGAUUCUUCUCUUGGAGUAAGAAUGUAUUUGGCUUGAUUUGGAAACACUCAUAGUUAAGAGACUUGAAUCUCAAACGAGUCAUUGAACUUUUAAAUCAUUUAGAAAUUUUAAAAUGUAUGCAGUGUUUUCUUUCUUCCUCCCCCAGCCCCCCCCCUUUUUUUGGGGGGGGGUUUCGAAACAGGGUUUCUCUGUGUAGCUUUGUGCCUUUCCUGGAACUCACUCUGUAGCCCAGGCUGCCCUCGAAUGCACAGAGAUCCACCUGUCUCUGCCUCCUGAGUUUGUUUUCUUUUAUGAUAUUGAUUAAGAUCCUUGGUACAAGCGAGAAAGGAAAGGAUUUAGUCUUAUAGUGACAUGUUUGCGUGUCAAGUUGAACACUUUUUUAAAAUGUGCAUUCUUGUUUCUUCUUCUGAGAACUGUCUGUUCAGUCUAUUUGUCCAUUUAUUGAUUGAUAUUUUUGUUUUGUGUGUGUAUAAUUUUCACAGUCCUUCAAAUAGUCUAGAUAAUAAUCCCCUGUCUGAUGUUAAGGUCUUCGAUCAGUUUUCAGUUUAUCUUUGUGCAGUUUGAGAGAUGUCAAUAUGUAUUCACUCUUGCAGGUGGAUAUACAAUUUUGCCAGCACUGUUGGAUAGUCUUAUCUUUUAUCUCAGGCAUGCCCAGAGGCCCAUCUCCCAGGGGAUUCUAGAGUCUGACAAGUUGACAACCAACAUUAACCGUCACAGAGCAGGGCAAGAAGAAAUUGGGUGAGUCAACCUGACACAGAAAGAAUGAUGGGAGAAGAAAGGAUGGAGUCAGGAGAAUUGCAAGAGAAGCCAGCCAGCCCCAGAGCAAGCAAAACCAGCCAGCCCCUGAGCCAACAGGACAUGUAAAAACUGAGGUAACAAGCCAUGAACCACGUGGCAAAGUAUAGAUAGAAUAUGGGUUAAUUUACAUGUAAGAGUUAGCUAAUAACAAGCCUGAGCUAUUGACCGAACAUUUAUAAUUAAUAUAAGUCUCUGUAUGUUUAUUUGAGAGGGCUGCAGGACAGGAAAACUUCUGUCUACAAUAAUUCCCUGGCCCAGACACAUCCAAAGCUAUAUCACCUAGCCAUAGACCCCUUUCUUUGAUGACCCUUUCCCUUUGGACUAGGGUCCUCACUCCAUUUUCUCCAAAAGGUCUCACAGCUGGAAGGAUUUCCUGCCCCAGUAUGCAAACUGGUCAGGACACCACCCACUGUGUACUGUGUGCUACUGCCACCUGGUGGUCACAUCUUUUUGUCCUAGCUCUGCUUGCUGACCUCAUGGCAGGGCCCGUGCCUGCAAGAGAAGCAAUCCAGUUGUUUGUGUCACUUUCUCAAGCCUGUAUACCACCCCUGACAUUCUCCUUUUGUUAUUUUUUUAAAUACACACAAAUGUUGUCACUCAUCAAAAAAAUUCUGAAGCCAGAAAUCCAGGAUGAUACUCAGAAGUCAUUUCAUUAAACCAUGCCCUAUAUAGGUGAGAAAAUAUGGGUUCAGACUUCUAUCAAAUUUAGAUCCUACUAAUCCCAGCUGCUUGGGGGGCUUCAUAGCCUGAGAUACAGAGUUUAAGUUAGCAUAAAACUACUGUGGAGAAGCCAUUGAGGAAGACACCCAACAGGAACUUCUGCCCUCCACAGGCACCCACAAGGGAGAACACACACAUAUACACAGGCAUAUGUGCCCACACACAAAUUAUUCACAAAAAUUGUUAAAUGGAGUAUAGUGUAGAAGUCUUCAUUGUUAAUCAUGAAUUUUUAUAAUUUGUCUGUAUAAAAUGAUGUACAGAAAAACGGCAUAGAAAUAUUCUUAAUAUUUUGGGGAUAAAUUAUAAAAUGUGUGUUGCAUUUAUAUAAGAAGAAAUAAAAGUGAACAUGAAAUAUUAAAUAGUUAUAUAUGCAUCUGAGUAUUAGCUAAUAA
Molecule: non-coding RNA, 3604 nt
Organism: Peromyscus maniculatus bairdii (prairie deer mouse)
Lineage: Eukaryota; Metazoa; Chordata; Mammalia; Rodentia; Cricetidae
Source: RefSeq, a predicted model, not a curated record